This 507-nucleotide ribosomal RNA is filed under the name uncultured bacterium. Its description in RNAcentral is "partial 16S ribosomal RNA". It matches the Rfam family "Bacterial small subunit ribosomal RNA", at positions 28 to 507 of the family's 1533-position model. The record is from RNAcentral.
GACGAACGCUGGCGGCGUGCUUAACACAUGCAAGUCGAACGGGCCUUGUCCCCUUUUUUUUGGGGGUGGGGUUAGUGGCGAACGGGUGAGUAACACGUGAGUAACCUGCCCCUCACUUCUGGAUAACCGCUUGAAAGGGUGGCUAAUACGGGGUGUUCUGGCCUGCUCGCAUGGGUGGGUUUGGAAAGAUUCGACCGGUUUUGGUUGUUUUGGUGGGGGAUGGGCUCGCGGCCUAUCAGCUUGUUGGUGGGGUGAUGGCCUGCCAAGGCUUUGACGGGUAGCCUGCCUGAGAGGGUGGGCGGUCACACUGAGACUGAGACACGGCCCAGACUCCUACGAGAGGCAGCAGUGGGGAAUAUUGCACAAUGGGCGCAAGCCUGAUGCAGCGACGCCGCGUGAGGGAUGGAGGCCUUCGGGUUGUGAACCUCUUUCGCCAGUGAAGAAGGUCCUGCUCUUUGUGGUGGGGUUGACGGUAGCUGGGUUAAUGAAGCGCCGGCUAACUACGUG